AACAAUUCGUGGGAUUGGACACCCGUGGCAAUAGGACUGACGUGGUAGCCAUCUCCAAUACAACAGGAAGAUCAGAGACAUUUGAGAUUGUGAAAAACUCGAAUGAUUCUAGUCGCGUCAGAAUAAAAGCUUCCAAUGGGUUCUUCUUGCAGGUGAAAACAGAGGAGCUGGUGACUGCUGAUUAUGCAGGUGACAGCACAUGGGGAGACGAUGACCCAUCGGUAUUUGUCUUGGGAAUUUCUGGAAGGCUGCAGGGAGAGUUCCAAGUCGCCAACGGCUAUGGCCCGAAACUAGCCCCACAAGUUAUGAGGGAACACUGGAGGACAUUCAUAGUGGAAAAAGAUUUCAUG
RNAcentral lists this unclassified non-coding RNA (350 nucleotides) under Hevea brasiliensis (rubber tree). The record is from RNAcentral. Lineage: Eukaryota; Viridiplantae; Streptophyta; Magnoliopsida; Malpighiales; Euphorbiaceae.